UUUUAUAGUGUUAAAUCAUCAGACUGAGAAACUCUUUUUUUUUCCUUAAUUAAGCUAAUUUGAAAUGUUUUGCAGGUUUGGAGAGUGGCUGAUGCUCCUGAAGAUGACAAAUACCAGUACACAUAUUUUACGCACAAGUUAAACAGCUUUGACACUGCUCCUAAGAAGUUGUUGCCAUCAGAUUCUCGUUUACGUCCUGAUAGAUAUGCACUGGAGAAGGGUGACCUUUCCAAAGCUGGUUCCGAGAAGAGCAGGUCUCUCUCUCUCUCUCUCACGCACACACGCGCGCGUAUACACACACACAGACACACACACGCACGCACUAAAUUUAUCUUCAUAAAGAGAAAGGUCUCUAAUAUGGCAAAAUUGAUUCCUUUUUCACAUUUGAUUUAAGAAUAAUGAAAGAACUUGUGUCUUUAUUUUGUUGAUGCUGUUAUAGAUUGGAGGAGAGACAGAGAGCUGAAAAAAGAAUCCGUGAGGCCAAAGAUGAUAUGUUUACUCCAAAAUGGUUUGACCUUAGUGAUGAAGUCACCCCUACUCCUUGGGGUGACUUGGAAGUGUACCGGUACAAUGGCAAGUAUUCUGAACUUCGGGCUACUCUAGAUAAUUCAGAAAGCCUUGGAGAGAUUAACCCUGAGACAACCGAGUUCAACCCGUGGCAAUAUGAAGACUCGGCUGCUGAAUGAGUAAAUCACGCAAU
Molecule: long non-coding RNA, 700 nt
Filed under: Citrus x clementina
Lineage: Eukaryota; Viridiplantae; Streptophyta; Magnoliopsida; Sapindales; Rutaceae
Description: Citrus clementina (C. clementina) long non-coding RNA (CCLE_LNC001938)
Source: RNAcentral